GACGGAGGGUGCAAACGUUGUUCGGAAUUACUGGGCGUAAAGCGCGUGUAGGCUGCUUCGAAAGUCGGAUGUGAAAGCCCUGGGCUCAACCUAGGAAGUGCAUUCGAAACUUCGAAGCUGGAGUCCUGGAGAGGAAGGCGGAAUUCUCGGUGUAGAGGUGAAAUUCGUAGAUAUCGAGAGGAACACCGGUGGCGAAGGCGGCCUUCUGGACAGUGACUGACGCUGAGACGCGAAAGCGUGGGGAGCAAACAGG
RNAcentral lists this ribosomal RNA (253 nucleotides) under uncultured bacterium. RNAcentral's name for it is "partial 16S ribosomal RNA". It matches the Rfam family "Bacterial small subunit ribosomal RNA", at positions 524 to 776 of the family's 1533-position model. The record is from RNAcentral.